Molecule: ribosomal RNA, 253 nt
Filed under: uncultured bacterium
Lineage: Bacteria
Description: partial 16S ribosomal RNA
Rfam family: Bacterial small subunit ribosomal RNA
Source: RNAcentral
UACAGAGGGGGCAAGCGUUGUUCGGAAUUACUGGGCGUAAAGCGUGCGCAGGCGGUGAUGUAAGACAGAUGUGAAAUCCCCGGGCUCAACCUGGGAACUGCAUUUGUGACUGCAUCGCUGGAGUGCGGCAGAGGGGGAUGGAAUUCCGCGUGUAGCAGUGAAAUGCGUAGAUAUGCGGAGGAACACCGAUGGCGAAGGCAAUCCCCUGGGCCUGCACUGACGCUCAUGCACGAAAGCGUGGGGAGCAAACAGG